Long non-coding RNA from Panicum virgatum (switchgrass), 269 nucleotides. RefSeq lists it as uncharacterized. NCBI's taxonomy places the organism in Eukaryota, Viridiplantae, Streptophyta, Magnoliopsida, Poales, Poaceae. The transcript has 3 exons. The record is from RefSeq and is a predicted model, not a curated record.
UCGACGUCUCAAUUAUGACCUUGUGGACUAUAAUGGAGUCACACAAAUGUAGACGAUGUGAGAUUAACAAUAUAGGCUUCUUGGACCCUAGCACCGUACAUGAGAACACAAUCAAUUUACCAAGUACCGUUGACUACUUGUACAAAGCUUUCCUCUCCAUGCAGGAUAAAAGAUCCAUACUUCUUUCAUACAAUUGCUUUUAUCAUCAUGUCCUACUCGAUAUCAGCCUUAGCGAUAGUCGAAUCGAGGUUUCUGACUCACAAAAGAGG